UCCGGUUUGACACCGGCGGUCCCCUUAGAGUCCCCGGCAUAACCCGCUGGUAACUAAGGGUAAAGGUUUCGCUCGUUAAGGGACUUAACCCGACAUCUCACGACACGAGCUGACGACAGCCAUGCAGCACCUGUACUUGUUGUACCCCUUGCGGGGCCUACCCGACUUUCAUCGGGAUAAUCCAAGCAUGUCAAGCCCAGGUAAGGUUCUGCGCGUUGCUUCGAAUUGAACCACAUGCUCCACCGCUUGUGUGAGCCCCCGUCAAUUCCUUUGAGUUUUAGCCUUGCGACCGUACUUCCCAGGCGGUCCACUUAACACUUUUGCUCCGACCGCGAGCGGGUCAAACCGCUCCGCGAUCUAGUGGACAUCGUUUAGGGCCAGGACUAC
This 387-nucleotide unclassified non-coding RNA is filed under the name uncultured Tepidisphaerales bacterium. RNAcentral's name for it is "contains 16S-23S intergenic spacer region". The record is from RNAcentral. Lineage: Bacteria; Pseudomonadati; Planctomycetota; Phycisphaerae; Tepidisphaerales.